UAGGGAAUAUUGGGCAAUGGGGGCAACCCUGACCCAGCAACGCCGCGUGAGGGAAGAAGGUUCUCUGGAUUGUAAACCUCUGUCCUAUGGGACGAAGAAGUGACGGUACCAUAGGAGGAAGCUCCGGCUAACUACGUGCCAGCAGCCGCGGUAAUACGUAGGGAGCGAGCGUUGUCCGGAAUUACUGGGCGUAAAGGGUGCGUAGGCGGUUUUUAAGUCAGAUGUGAAAUACCCGUGCUCAACAUGGGGGGUGCAUCUGAUACUGGAGGACUUGAGUGCAGGAGAGGAAAGCGGAAUUCCUAGUGUAGCGGUGAAAUGCGUAGAUAUUAGGAGGAACACCAGUGGCGAAGGCGGCUUUCUGGACUGUAACUGACGCUGAGGCACGAAAGCGUGGGGAGCAAACAGGAUUAGAUACCCUGGUAGU
This 424-nucleotide ribosomal RNA is filed under the name uncultured bacterium. Its description in RNAcentral is "bacterial SSU rRNA". It matches the Rfam family "Bacterial small subunit ribosomal RNA", at positions 355 to 794 of the family's 1533-position model. The record is from RNAcentral.